RNAcentral lists this ribosomal RNA (267 nucleotides) under uncultured bacterium. RNAcentral describes it as "partial 16S ribosomal RNA". It matches the Rfam family "Bacterial small subunit ribosomal RNA", at positions 87 to 354 of the family's 1533-position model. The record is from RNAcentral.
UUAAGUUAGUGGCGGACGGGUGAGUAACGCGUGGGUAACCUGCCGUAUACCGGGGGAUAACACCUGGAAACAGGUGCUAAUACCGCAUAAGCGCACGGGACCGCAUGGUCCAGUGUGAAAAACCGAGGUGGUAUGCGAUGGACCCGCGUCUGAUUAGCCAGUUGGCAGGGUAACGGCCUACCAAAGCGACGAUCAGUAGCCGGCCUGAGAGGGUGGACGGCCACAUUGGGACUGAGACACGGCCCAAACUCCUACGGGAGGCAGCAG